AGGAAAUUUUAAGGGCGCACGGUGGAUGCCUUGACUGUAAGAGGCGAUGAAGGACGUAUUAGGCUGCGAUAAGCCUCGGGGAGCUGCCAAAGAGCUUUGAUCCGAGGAUUUCCGAAUGGGGCAACCCAGCAUAUAGAGAUAUAUGUUACCCUACGGGGAGCGAACCUGGUGAAGUGAAACAUCUCAGUAGCCAGAGGAAGAGAAAUCAAAUGAGAUUCCCAUAGUAGCGGCGAGCGAACUGGGAUUAGGACAAACCCAAUGCUUGCAUUGGGGGUUGUAGGACUAUAAUGUGUAAUUAAAGAGAAUAGAUGAAUUAGUUGGAAAACUAGAGCAUAGAAGGUGAUACUCCUGUAAUUAAAAUUCUCAAUAAUACUAAUAGUAUCCUGAGUAGGUCGGAACACGUGAUAUUUUGACUGAAGCUGGGGGGACCACCCUCCAAUCCUAAAUACUACUUACAGAUCGAUAGUGAACAAGUACCGUGAGGGAAAGGUGAAAAGUACUGCAGCGAGCAGAGUGAAAUAGAACCUGAAACCAUUAGCUUACAAUCAUUCAGAGCCCUAUGAUUUAUCAGGGUGAUGGACUGCCUUUUGCAUAAUGAGCCUGCGAGUUGUGGUGUCUGGCAAGGUUAAGCCAAGUGCGAAGCCGUAGCGAAAGCGAGUCUUAAUAGGGCGACUUAAGUCAGAUGCUGCAGACCCGAAACGAAGUGAUCUAUCCAUGAGCAGGUUGAAGCUGGUGUAAGAGCCAGUGGAGGACCGAACCCGCAGGCGUUGAAAAGUCUUGGGAUGACUUGUGGAUAGGGGUGAAAGGCCAAUCAAACUUCGUGAUAGCUGGUUCUCUCCGAAAUAUAUUUAGGUAUAGCCUUGUGUUGUAGCAUAUAGGGGUAGAGCACUGAAUGGGCUAGGGCUGCUUACCGCGGUACCAAACCCUAUCAAACUAUGAAUACUAUAUGUGGAAUCACAGGAGUCAGGCGGUGGGUGAUAAAAUCCGUCGUCAAGAGGGGAACAACCCAGACUAACAGCUAAGGUCCCUAAGUUACAUCUAAGUGGAAAACGAUGUGGAGUUACUGUGACAACCAGGAGGUUGGCUUAGAAGCAGCCAUCCUUUAAAGAAAGCGUAACAGCUCACUGGUCUAGUGAUUCUGCGCGGAAAAUAUAACGGGGCUAAGAUGUACACCGAAGCUUUAGAUUCAAUUUUUAAUUGAGUGGUAGGAGAGCGUUCUAUUCAGCGUUGAAGGUAUACCGGUAAGGAGUGCUGGAGCGGAUAGAAGUGAGCAUGCAGGCAUGAGUAGCGAUAAUUAAGGUGAGAAUCCUUAACGCCGAAAACCCAAGGUUUCCUACGCGAUGCUCGUCAUCGUAGGGUUAGUCGGGUCCUAAGUCGAGACUGAAAAGUGUAGACGAUGGCAAAUUGGUUAAUAUUCCAAUACCAACAUAUAAGCGCGAUGUGGGGACGCAUAGAGUUAAUCGAGCUCACUGAUGGAAUAGUGGGUCGAAGGACGUAGGUUGUUAAGUAGGCAAAUCCGCUUAACGUUAGACCGAGAUCUUACAGGCUCUUGACACUCUUCGGAGGAGAUGGAGAAUCGAUGAUACUGUCGUGCCAAGAAAAGCCACUAAGUUUAUUAUAUGUUGCCCGUACCGUAAACCGACACAGGUGGGUGGGAUGAGUAUUCUAAGGCGCGUGGAAGAACCCUCUUUAAGGAACUCUGCAAAAUAGCACCGUAUCUUCGGUAUAAGGUGUGCCUACUUUUGUAUAUGGACUUGCUCCAAAAAGCGAAAGAGGUUGCAACAAAGAGUCCCUCCCGACUGUUUACCAAAAACACAGCACUUUGCUAACACGUAAGUGGAUGUAUAAGGUGUGACGCCUGCCCGGUGCUCGAAGGUUAACUGAUGAUGUCAGCGCAAGCGAAGCAUUUGAUUGAAGCCCGAGUAAACGGCGGCCGUAACUAUAACGGUCCUAAGGUAGCGAAAUUCCUUGUCAGUUAAAUACUGACCUGCAUGAAUGGCGUA
RNAcentral lists this ribosomal RNA (2003 nucleotides) under wastewater metagenome. RNAcentral describes it as "bacterial LSU rRNA". It matches the Rfam family "Bacterial large subunit ribosomal RNA", at positions 1 to 2003 of the family's 2925-position model. The record is from RNAcentral.